GACGAACGCUGUCGGCGUGCUUAACACAUGCAAGUCGAACGGAAAGGCCCUGCUUUUGUGGGGUGCCCGAGUGGCGAACGGGUGAGUAACACGUGAGUAACCUGCCCUUGACUUUGGGAUAACUUCAGGAAACUGGGGCUAAUACCGGAUAGGAGCUCCUGCUGCAUGGUGGGGGUUGGAAAGUUUCGGCGGUUGGGGAUGGACUCGCGGCUUAUCAGCUUGUUGGUGGGGUAGUGGCUUACCAAGGCUUUGACGGGUAGCCGGCCUGAGAGGGUGACCGGCCACAUUGGGACUGAGAUACGGCCCAGACUCCUACGGGAGGCAGCAGUGGGGAAUAUUGCACAAUGGGCGGAAGCCUGAUGCAGCAACGCCGCGUGCGGGAUGACGGCCUUCGGGUUGUAAACCGCUUUCGCCUGUGACGAAGCGUGAGUGACGGUAAUGGGUAAAGAAGCACCGGCUAACUACGUGCCAGCAGCCGCGGUGAUACGUAGGGUGCGAGCGUUGUCCGGAUUUAUUGGGCGUAAAGGGCUCGUAGGUGGUUGAUCGCGUCGGAAGUGUAAUCUUGGGGCUUAACCCUGAGCGUGCUUUCGAUACGGGUUGACUUGAGGAAGGUAGGGGAGAAUGGAAUUCCUGGUGGAGCGGUGGAAUGCGCAGAUAUCAGGAGGAACACCAGUGGCGAAGGCGGUUCUCUGGGCCUUUCCUGACGCUGAGGAGCGAAAGCGUGGGGAGCGAACAGGCUUAGAUACCCUGGUAGUCCACGCUGUAAACGGUGGGUACUAGGUGUGGGGUCCAUUCCACGGGUUCCGUGCCGUAGCUAACGCUUUAAGUACCCCGCCUGGGGAGUACGGCCGCAAGGCUAAAACUCAAAGGAAUUGACGGGGCCCCGCACAAGCGGCGGAGCAUGCGGAUUAAUUCGAUGCAACGCGUAGAACCUUACCUGGGUUUGACAUGGAUCGGGAGUGCUCAGAGAUGGGUGUGCCUCUUUUGGGGUCGGUUCACAGGUGGUGCAUGCCUGUCGUCAGCUCGUGUCGUGAGAUGUUGGGUUAAGUCCCGCAACGAGCGCAACCCUUGUUCACUGUUGCCAGCACGUUAUGGUGGGGACUCAGUGGAGACCGCCGGGGUCAACUCGGAGGAAGGUGGGGAUGACGUCAAGUCCUCAUGCCCCUUAUGUCCAGGGCUUCACGCAUGCUACAAUGGCUGGUACAGAGAGUGGCGAGCCUGUGAGGGUGAGCGAAUCUCGGAAAGCCGGUCUCAGUUCGGAUUGGGGUCUGCAACUCGACCUCAUGAAGUCGGAGUCGCUAGUAAUCGCAGAUCAGCAACGCUGCGGUGGAUACGUUCCCGGGGCU
RNAcentral lists this ribosomal RNA (1346 nucleotides) under uncultured bacterium. RNAcentral's name for it is "bacterial SSU rRNA". It matches the Rfam family "Bacterial small subunit ribosomal RNA", at positions 28 to 1381 of the family's 1533-position model. The record is from RNAcentral.